Molecule: long non-coding RNA, 534 nt
Filed under: Homo sapiens (human)
Lineage: Eukaryota; Metazoa; Chordata; Mammalia; Primates; Hominidae
Description: non-protein coding lnc-LMBRD1-7:2
Source: RNAcentral
AAUCAUCAAUUUCCUAAUAUGUGUAAAAUAAUGUUGCACUGUUGGAUAAAGUGUUCAGUUGUCAGAAAAAAAAUACUGGCCCGAUUUAAUGAAAUGAUUAUUAGAAUUCCUUAAAAGUUAUUUGUAUAGUCUUUUCCUUUGUAAUAAAUUCGUAAGUAUUACAUGACUACAUAAAUUAACAGCUCCUUAUCGGCUUUUAAAAGUUGUUUUUUUUUCUUUUGGUUCAUCAUAAAAAAAACAAAAACAAACAAACAAACAAAACAGAAGAAACAAUAAAAUCAACCAACCAACCAAAAAUCUAUGUCAAUUUUGCUCUCUUUUUCAUGGAGUUUGAAUUACUGAUAAAGAGAUUCUCAUAAUUUUAAAUAUUAAUAUAAACCUGUACCCAGGUAUUUAAAUAGUAAUCUACAUUAUUCUAGACCUUAUUUUAAGGGUAUUCAGGCCUGAGCCGGUUAAUCUUGGUUUGUUCCCCUCAUUAGAUUUGCGGUCUGCCAUUCUCUGCUCUGCUUUGUACCCUAUGAACUGCACCAUCUA